UUUUUCUUAUAUUUCCGUCAGUAAAGUCUUAUCAAAUACAGCAAUCAACACAAUUCGAUUGCACAACGUCAGUUUAAACUAAACAUUUGUACGAGACGUUACUUGUGUAUUUAAAUUUCUGUUUAUUGAGGAAAUAUAGAGAGGCAAUUAUUGACAUAAAAGAGGAAAACAACUGGUUUUAGUUAGUCACAAUUUGAAAAAGUUUCAAUUUCUUCUAAACAUGAAGUGUUUCUUCCUCUUUCUACUUACUUUCGUUGUUUGUUCAGAAUAUGUCAGAGGAUUAAAAUUUGUGAAUCCCGUAGUCUACGAAGUACAAGAUAGAUUUGGAUUAUCUUGGGAUCAAUUUAAAGGAAAAUGUGAUUCUAAAGGAGGAAAUUUAUUUCCUGCCGUAUCUAAUUUACGUGAUAAAUAUGAUAUGACAUCUUCUCAAGUGAAAACUGAAAUUUUAAAUAAAGCAAGACAAACUUCUAGUGGAAUGACAGAAGCAAAAUGGGAUCAUCUUAUAAACACAAAAUGUCUCGUUAAUUCUGAUUUGAUUUCAACUUCUCAACAGGCUAUUGAAAAAAUUAUUCUUUGUUUGGAUAAUAAUGGUGGAUUAAAUGAACAACAAAAAGAACAAGCUAAAAAAGAUCUCUUAAAAAAAUUCUGUUCCUUAAUAAGAAUGUGGGCCAAAUUUGAGUACGAAAAUUAUAAUUGAAAUUAAACACAAAACUGUAUUAAAUUCAAUAGCGAAAAAUUUACGUUAUAAAUAAUUCGAAGGAAUGAAAAAUUUCUUAAAACACACAUUAACCCUAACGAAUUACAUGAUGAGAAUGUUCAAUCAAAUUCGUGGAAUAUGUGGUUCGAAUGAAAAUUUUGUUAUAAAAAAUUAACAAAUAAUUCCUCCUUGCCAUGGAAAAUAUUCUUGAAGGCUUCUCGAUAACGAGAACUCAUUAAAUUAUAAAUUAUUGGAUUUACUACAGUACUGGCGUAGAAAAAUAAAUUUGAAAGAAACAUGACCCAG
Molecule: RNA transcript, 1003 nt
Organism: Leptopilina boulardi
Lineage: Eukaryota; Metazoa; Arthropoda; Insecta; Hymenoptera; Figitidae
Exons: 4
Source: RefSeq, a predicted model, not a curated record